Molecule: ribosomal RNA, 253 nt
Filed under: uncultured bacterium
Lineage: Bacteria
Description: partial 16S ribosomal RNA
Rfam family: Bacterial small subunit ribosomal RNA
Source: RNAcentral
UACGUAGGGCGCGAGCGUUGUCCGGAAUUAUUGGGCGUAAAGAGCUCGUAGGCGGCCAACUAAGUCGGACGUGAAAUCCCUCGGCUUAACCGGGGAACUGCGUCCGAUACUGGAUGGCUUGAGUUCGGGAGAGGGAUGCGGAAUUCCAGGUGUAGCGGUGAAAUGCGUAGAUAUCGAGAGGAACACCUGCGGCGAAGGCGGGUUGCUGGGCUGACACUGACGCUGAUGCGCGAAAGCCAGGGGAGCGAACGGG